CUUUCGGCUUCUGUCACUAAGUCAGGUCCAAAAACUUCUGUUUCUCUAGGCUGAGACCAAUUGAGUGGUGUUCUGCAUCUUCUCCCAUAGAGAGCUUCGAAGGGUGCCAUCUUUAGGCUGGAUUGAUAACUGUUGUUAUAAGCAAACUCUGCCAAAGAGAUGUUCUUAUCCCAGUUCUUGCCACAAUCGAUUGCACAAGCCCUCAACAUAUCUUCAAGAAUUUGAUUUACCCUCUUGGUCUGACCAUCAGUCUGUGGGUGGUAAGCUGAACUUCUGAUUAGCUUGGUUCCCAAAGACUCUUGCAGUUGUUCCCAAAAUCUGGCAACAAACGGGGCACCUCGAUUAGAAACAAUGGUCCGAGGCAAUCCGUGCAAACACACGAUCCGAUCAAUGUACAACUCUGCAUACUUUUGAGCCUUAUCAGUGGUGUGCACUGGGAGAAAAGGUGCCACUUUCGUCAGUUGGUCCACAAUAACCCAAAUCGAAUCAUGAUAACGAGAGGUGUUGGGCAGACCCACAAUAAAUCCAUGCUGAUGUCAUCCCAUUUCCAUGAAGGUAUAGACAGGGGUUGCAAAGCUCCAGCUGAUUUCAAGUGGCUUGCCUUUAUCCUCUGACACGUGUCACAUUCCGAUACAUAUCGGGCUAUCUCCCUCUUCAUUCUGGUCCACCAAUACAAGGGCUUCAGAUCAUGGUACAUUUUGUUGCUCCCUAGAUGCAUGGAGAAUUUGGAGAGAUGGGCCUCAUCCAAGAUUUUCUUCUUGAGAUCCUCAUUUUUAGGAACCACCAAUCUGCUUUCAAACCAUAAUAUACCCUUUCCAUAUUGGCGGAAACAUUUAUACUUCUCGGUCUUCUGACGGAGAUUCUCCUUGAUAAUCUGCACUCCCUUGUCACUGAGCUAGGCCAUGAUAAUCUGGUCUUGCAAAGCUGGCUCAACAGAAAUGAGACAAAGCACCAGAAGGAAUUACUUCAAUCUUCAUCUUGCUCAACUCAUCACACAAUGUGUCAAUACGAGAAUCCAUCAUAACACAGUUACAUUGCAACUUCCGACUCAAGGCAUCUGCUACCACAUUGGCUUUUCCUGGGUGAUAAUGUACCUCAAGGUCAUAAUCCUUGAUCAGCUCUAGCCAUCUUCUCUGCCUCACAUUGAGAUCAGCCUGAGUAAAGAUAUACUUAAGGCUUUUAUGAUCAGUGAAGAUGUUGCAGUGGGUUCCCAUCAAAUAGUGCCUCCGCAUUUUUAAUGCAUGAACCACCGCUGCCAACUCCAAGUCAUGAGUAGGAUAAUUUUGCUCAUGAGGCCUGAGUGCUCUUGAUGCAUAAGCAAUGACUCGGUUGUCUUGCAUCAAGACACAACCUAGUCCAGUGCCAGAUGCAUCACAGUACACAUCAAAUGACUUGCUGCUAUCGGGUUGCGCUAACACUGGUGCUAUGGUCAGAUGUUGCCUCAAUGCAUGGAAGGCAUCUUUGCACUUCUGACCCCAAACAAACUUGGCUUCUUUCUUCAAUAGCUCAGUUAUGGGCUUCACAAUUCAAGAGAAAUCCGAAAUGAAUCUUCGAUAAUAACCGGCCAAUCCCAGAAAACUUCGAAUCUGACGGACAGUCGUUGGUGGCUUCCAGUUCAUCACCUCUUGCACCUUAUCAGGAUCAACAACUAUGCCUGCCUGAGAGAUAGUGUGACCCAAGAACUUGAUUUCCUUUAGCCAAAAAUCACAUUUUGACAAUUUGGCAUAAAGACGGUGCUCUCGCAGACGUUGAAGCACUACAUGCAAAUGUCCGGCAUGUUCUUCUUCAUUCUUUGAGUACACCAAGAUGUCAUCGAUGAAAACCACUACGAAUUUGUCCAACUCAGGCAUGAAAACAGAAUUCAUCAGAUACAUAAAAUAUGCUAGUGCAUUGGUCAGCCCAAAAUACAUCACCAAGAAUUCAUACAACCCA
This 1932-nucleotide long non-coding RNA is filed under the name Zea mays. RNAcentral describes it as "drought responsive lncRNA". The record is from RNAcentral. Lineage: Eukaryota; Viridiplantae; Streptophyta; Magnoliopsida; Poales; Poaceae.